Long non-coding RNA from Cornus florida, 471 nucleotides. RefSeq lists it as uncharacterized. The record is from RefSeq and is a predicted model, not a curated record. Lineage: Eukaryota; Viridiplantae; Streptophyta; Magnoliopsida; Cornales; Cornaceae. The transcript is spliced from 2 exons.
UCCAAUAAUAUAUAAUGUACUACUAUAUAAGGCAUACAUUGUACAGAUCUGGUCAGUUCGAUCUUUGUUGUUGUCAUAUAUAAAAACAAAUUAAAAUGAUAAGCAAAGCUUUCCCGACCUCUUCUUCUAUCAUAUGCUGCUUGUUGAUGAUUUCGAUUAUCAUGGUUUCACCUGUCCUGUCUGUGAGAAAGUUAUCCAUGGCUUCCGGCAGCUAUGACGCAUAUGGAAACCCUUUUCCACCAGUGGCUGUUAAAAUUGGGGUACCCCCAGUCCAUAUUGAACCAAGUCCUGGCACCGGCCAUUAAUUGAAUAAUUUUUUUAUUAUUUUUGAGAUGUGAGAGACUGUAUUAUGCAUGUUUUGGUUUAUAUAUGUAGCCAAACAGAAACUAAUAACGUGUCCAAUGUAUGCCACCAUGUUCUGUACCUCACUUUGAAUUUCCCUUUUAAUUCUUACGGUUUUUUUUUUCGAAC